This 1630-nucleotide long non-coding RNA is filed under the name Gallus gallus (chicken). Its description in RNAcentral is "lncRNA (ENSGALG00010010065.1)". The record is from RNAcentral. Lineage: Eukaryota; Metazoa; Chordata; Aves; Galliformes; Phasianidae.
AGUGCGCAUGCGUGGGUGAUGGAGCGCCUGGGGGAGCGGUGGGCUGCGUGAUGAGCAGAGCGAUCCGCGCUUCGCCCAGCUGCUGAAGCGAGACAUUUUCCUUCCCGAUAUCUGAAAAAAGAGUUGUCUGUGGCUGAAGUUGUACUCGCAGGCUCCUGAAACGCAUGAACACCAUCUAGUGGGACAUGGGCAGCAAGUGCUGAUACAUGCAAUCAGAUACAGCUGUCUGUGUGUCUAUGUGGAUUUCAUACACUGGGUGGAACUAUUGCCAAACUCCGCUAUUCAAAUGACAGCUCACAAACAUCUGUGCACAGAAAAUCAUAGAAGGUGAUCUCUUUGUAACGCUCUGUUCUCUCCCCAUGUAAUUCUCUCAUGAUUUGUCACUGCAGUGUAACUGCUCUUGUCCACUGGAUGGUGUACCACUUGUUUCUGCAGCUGGAGGGCAUCUUAAGACGUGUUGGAGUCACACUGACCUUGGCAAGCAGUGUGCAUAUCUCCAUACGUGAAAACAGAGGGAGAAAUAGUAUAGACAGAGCCGUUGUUUAGCAACUAAAAAAAAAUAAUAACUACAUAUAAUGUCAUGUGACAUAAAUACAGGCUGAAAAUAGGACACUGUCUCCCAGAACAGAGCCUUCUCAAAGUUCAGGUGUAUGCUGGUCUUGUGCUACACAUGUGAGUCUUGCCGGUAUUGGUGGGUGUUGUUUUGAAGAUCUAGAUUCAUUUGCAGCUCUUUGAGGUUUGGAGACCAUGAACCGUUUUAUUUUUUACUUGUAAGCUUUGCUUUUUGCUCUAGAGAGCUUGGAUAGGGCAAGGCAGCAAAUCAGUCUGAAAUUCACCUUGCUCCCUUCUCCGUACUUUUAGCACUGUGCAGGUUUCCCAUUUCCUCCUGAACUCAAAACCAAACAAAUCAGUUGCACGUUUUACUUCCCACGUUUUUGCUAAGCGUGUGGAGCAGGGCUUGAGCAGUUUUAAUAUGCACAUCGUUGUUUUUUGCCAUGCUAAAAACAUUACCAGACAUGUCAGGACUUCGGUUCUUCUGCAAGUCCCGCUGUUUUGGAACCACUUCCCCAGCAAACAAUACUGCCAAGAUAAAUUGUUUGUCGGAGAUAACUUCCAAGUCCUCCAGCAGAUUACCUAAGAGAUGUUGAAAAAUAAUGCUGCACAAAGCAAAUUGUUUCCAUGCUUCCUGUCCUCGUAGGAAGGAAUGGAGCUUAUCUCUGUUACAGAUUCCAUAGAGACGGCUGCAGUACCUUAAACCGAUGUACUGUUUAAACUGGGAGAGUUUUGGAAUACUUCAGAUAUCAGGGAAACACAUGAAAUAUGCAUGCCCUGUUGUUCCUGCCCUCAGAAAUGCAAAUACUGACAUUCAAAUGAUUUGUAUAAGGACUCCAAUGGUUUGGCAAAGCUCAGUAAAGCUGCUCACAGAUUGCGUUAGACAAAAACAGUUCAGCAGAAUAUGCCAUUUCCCAUAGGCAAAUCUCAAGACAACGAGUGCUGUUUAGGGUUUAAUUAUGCAUGUUUGUAAAGUGCCAAAGAUUUGUCAUUUGUGUGGAUUCUUGCUCGCCGAGUAUUGUUUUGUGUCAAUGUUUUCUUUACAUUUGAGCUAAAAAUAAAAGCAGUACUUCAUAAU